GACGAACGCUGGCGGCGUGCUUAACACAUGCAAGUCGAACGGAAAGGCCCUUCGGGGUACUCGAGUGGCGAACGGGUGAGUAACACGUGGGUGAUCUGCCCUGCACUUUGGGAUAAGCCUGGGAAACUGGGUCUAAUACCGAAUAGGACCACGCGCUUCAUGGUGUGUGGUGGAAAGCUUUUGCGGUGUGGGAUGGGCCCGCGGCCUAUCAGCUUGUUGGUGGGGUAAUGGCCUACCAAGGCGACGACGGGUAGCCGGCCUGAGAGGGUGACCGGCCACACUGGGGAUGAGAAACGGCCGAGCCCCAGAGGGGGGGCAGAGGGGGAGAAGAUUCAACAAGGGGCACAGCCGUAACGAAGCCCCGCCGGGGGAGGGAUGACGGCCUUCGGUGUAAAACCCUCUUUCCCCAGGGACGGAGGGAAAGGGGGGGUCCCGGGAAAAGAAGCACCGGCAAACUACGAG
This 462-nucleotide ribosomal RNA is filed under the name uncultured bacterium. Its description in RNAcentral is "partial 16S ribosomal RNA". It matches the Rfam family "Bacterial small subunit ribosomal RNA", at positions 28 to 507 of the family's 1533-position model. The record is from RNAcentral.